This 397-nucleotide ribosomal RNA is filed under the name uncultured bacterium. RNAcentral's name for it is "partial 16S ribosomal RNA". It matches the Rfam family "Bacterial small subunit ribosomal RNA", at positions 523 to 918 of the family's 1533-position model. The record is from RNAcentral.
AUACGUAGGGGGCGAGCGUCGUCCGGAAUGAUUGGGCGUAAAGGGCGCGUAGGCGGCUUUGCAAGUCAGUAGUGGAAGUCCAUUUUUCAAGGAUGGAAGUGCUACAGAAACUGCGCAGCUUGAGUGCAGGAGAGGUUAUCGGAAUUCCCGGUGUAGCGGUGAAAUGCGUAGAGAUCGGGAGGAACACCAGCGGCGAAGGCGGGUAACUGGACUGCAACUGACGCUGAGGCGCGAAAGUGUGGGGAGCAAACAGGAUUAGAUACCCUGGUAGUCCACACUGUAAACGAUGAAUGCUAGGUGUAGGAGGUAUCGACCCCUUCUGUGCCGCAGUAAACACAGUAAGCAUUCCGCCUGGGGAGUACGGUCGCAAGAUUAAAACUCAAAGGAAUUGACGGGG